AGUUUGUUGUCAUGUUUGCCUUUUGCUGCCAGCAGGUUCAAAUCAGCCUUUUUUAAUAUUUUCUCAGUUUAAACAUUUGAUGUUUUUUCUCAGUCGUCUUGAGAUUUUGUUUCAUUUCUGAGAUCAUCACAUUCUUUCAGUGCCAUGAUCCACAGACAGGACAGACUCAAAGACAUCAAACUCAUGUUUGGAUCUGUGUUCGUUCAUUAUCUGAUGCUCGUCAGCUGCAGAAAUCCUCUCAGGAAAAGAGUUUCAGCUCUUCUUCAGGGUCACAGUGAUGCGUUCAGGAACACCUGUGAAACACAGCAAACUGAGUUCUGCUUCUCUCAGUGGGACGCUCGAGUGUUUGGGUCCCUCUGUGGUUCACUUUGCUGGCCUCUAGUGGGCACGAGGUGAACUCAUCAUGUUGGUGUCAGCUGUAUUUGACAGCAGCCACCAGUCUGCAGUUCUGUAUUUGAACCUUUGAAUCUCCACAAGUGCAGAUAUGAAACACAGCUGGGAAUGAUUCCUUUUGUGUAUGUGGACGUAGUCUGUGGGUGGCAGUAAUGGGGGUGCCCCACCUUUUCCCCUAUGACAGCCUCCCCCACUUAACCCUGAGCUGGACAAAGAGAAAACGACGUCUUGUAUUUGGCAGCUGUUACAUCAGACACUGUGACACAAACACCUGAUGACUGAACAGGUUUCCUGACAAACUCAUUUUUAUUUUGCUCUGAGACAUUUUCACUCACACAGCCAAGGGCGCAGAUUUGGCACGGACGGAAGGGACGUGUCCCCACCAAUAAUUUGAUCUCUCCGAGUAAAGAAAAACAACCCGAUAGAAAGAAAGAAAACGAUCUCCCAGCGGUGCAGAAAGAGUUAAAUUACGUUCUCUACUGGAGUGCUACGUCAUGUGACAAAUAUGGCCAAUGUGAUUGGCUGAGCCUUUCAGGGAGCUCUGUUUAGUUUUAGCAGCGGCAAGCCUGCGCUGUGAGGAGGAGAGGAGGAUGGCAGCAAAGAGGAAGAACCUGGAUAUAAGAAAGUAUUUUUGAAAGAAACCUAUGAGGAGAAAAGAGUCCAGGCACCACCCUGCCCAGGGGUCGGCUGCAAGCAGUCUCGGUUCCCGAUGAAAGCAGUAACAGCUGUCCUGCACACACGGAUACAACGAGUUAGUGCAACCAGGGUAGUGACACAAAAUUAACAGUUCCUGUAACUCAGCAACCAAAAAGCAUAAGUAAUGAUAAAAAUGUGGAGAGUACAGAGUAUACUAUAAUAAUGAGAGAUAUAAACGUGAAAAUGUGAAAGAAUAAAUCAACCGUAAAAUAAACACAGAACGGUAACUGCUAAGGACAUUCAAAAGUGAAUAUGGUAAAACGUGAGGAAGGGGUGUGGAAAAAAAACAAUUUAUAUCCAGUGGUGGGAGUACACAUUCGCUCAGGCUUAAGUCCGGAGACCCUGAGAACAUCGCUUAACCCUCACAACCCGACCAGACACAGUUCAACCAGAUAUAUCCUUCAAGAGGAAGUGGGUGAGGGAAACAAUUAAUAACAAGCCUAAUACAAAACACCACAGAGAAACAACCAUUCUAGAAGCAUUUAAACAAGAGAAAGACGAUAAUGUUCGUCACCCUCACGAUCAGAGUUUUCAUCAUCCGUUGGCGAGGAGGUAACCGUGUCUCGUUUCUUUCUAAAUGGAUCGGGCGUGGGCAAAACUGGAGAGGAAGUGGUGGGCAAGACCCUAGGGGCUACAUUUGUCAGAUUGGGACUGUCAGAAGGGGGCGGAGCUUUUGAACUUGAAGGUGUCAGAAGUGUCGGGGGCCCUUCACAGAUCAGGAUUAUGCCAAUGGGAAUGAGACCCAGGGCCAGGAAGCAAACAAAGACGCAACAUCUUUGCCUGCCUGUCAUUUCAGGGGGAAAGGGCCAAGACAUGUUUACUUAGCUUGGAUGUCGUCUAAUAGAGGAUGAUGGGGCACAGAAAGGUGGUCCAGUUCCCCCCACCUCGCCAAGGGCGUGUUCUAGGAGUUAAAGAGCAACAACCUGAGAGAGAGAGAGAGAGAGAGAGAGAGAGAGAGAGAGAGAGAGAGAGAGAGAGAGAGAGAGAGAGAGAGAGAGAGCCCCUAAUGGCCAGUUAGUGGGCUCUAGGUCAAACUGUCCCCAAAUUUG
This is a long non-coding RNA of Astatotilapia calliptera (eastern happy), 2138 nucleotides long. Lineage: Eukaryota; Metazoa; Chordata; Actinopteri; Cichliformes; Cichlidae. The record is from Ensembl.